UUAUGGCUCAGGAUGAACGCUAGCUACAGGCUUAACACAUGCAAGUCGAGGGGCAGCAUUGGGAUAGCUUGCUAUUCAGAUGGCGACCGGCGCACGGGUGAGUAACGCGUAUCCAACCUUCCUGCCAGUAGGGAACAGCCCGGCGAAAGUCGGAUUAAUGCCCUAUGUUCUUCAAUGCGGACAUCUAAGUUGAAGGAAAGAUUCAUCGCUGGCAGAUGGGGAUGCGUCCGAUUAGCUUGCCGGCGGGGUAACGGCCCACCGGGGCGACGAUCGGUAGGGGUUCUGAGAGGAAGGUCCCCCACACUGGUACUGAGACACGGACCAGACUCCUACGGGAGGCAGCAGUGAGGAAUAUUGGUCAAUGGGCGUAAGCCUGAACCAGCCAAGUAGCGUGCAAGGAUGACGGCCCUACGGGUUGUAAACUGCUUUUAUGCGGGGAUAAAGUGCGGCACGUGUGCCGCUUUGCAGGUACCGCAUGAAUAAGGACCGGCUAAUUCCGUGCCAGCCGCCGC
Molecule: ribosomal RNA, 512 nt
Filed under: uncultured bacterium
Lineage: Bacteria
Description: bacterial SSU rRNA
Rfam family: Bacterial small subunit ribosomal RNA
Source: RNAcentral